Molecule: transfer RNA, 73 nt
Filed under: Pollicipes pollicipes
Lineage: Eukaryota; Metazoa; Arthropoda; Thecostraca; Pollicipedomorpha; Pollicipedidae
Description: tRNA-Thr
Rfam family: tRNA
About the family: Transfer RNA (tRNA) molecules are approximately 80 nucleotides in length.
Source: RNAcentral
GCCCGGCUAGCUCAAUCGGAAGAGCAUGGGACUCGUAACCGCAGGGUCGUGGGUUCGAGCCCCACGGCGAGCG